UCCCUGGUGGUCCAGUGGUUAGGACUCUGCACUUUCACCACUGAGGACCCAGGUUCAAUCCCUAGUUGGGGAA
This 73-nucleotide transfer RNA is filed under the name Ovis aries (sheep). It matches the Rfam family "tRNA". From Rfam's summary of the family: Transfer RNA (tRNA) molecules are approximately 80 nucleotides in length. The record is from Rfam by way of RNAcentral. Lineage: Eukaryota; Metazoa; Chordata; Mammalia; Artiodactyla; Bovidae.